Synchiropus splendidus (mandarinfish) is the source of this 4725-nucleotide long non-coding RNA. RefSeq lists it as uncharacterized. The transcript has 2 exons. The record is from RefSeq and is a predicted model, not a curated record. Lineage: Eukaryota; Metazoa; Chordata; Actinopteri; Syngnathiformes; Callionymidae.
UCAAAGGCACACUGAAUUCCACUAUCAGAUGUUUACAUAAACCACUACUAAAAGGCAACAAGCAGAAGAGAUUAGUUUGGGCCAAGUAACAAAAGGAAUGAACAAUGGAAACUUUGGUCGGGUGAGUCAAGAUGAAUGAGUGACACCAAUGCUUUAGCUUUCACUCAGCAGUACCAGCGCCAUACAAAUCUUGAGAUCCUGAAGACUAGUGACUGGUGACUCGUCCUCAGCCGCGACACGUGGCCUGCCUCCACUGGACGGACUUGCCAGAUUGGUCUUCUUGUUCGCUUUUCAUGAAUCUGAACUACAUUUCCACAACUGUUAAUGUUAAAGCUAAUGUCUGGCUUGGGGAACUCACUCAAGGUCUGGCAGCGGUUGGUCAAAGUCAUGAAACUCCUCUGGCAGGGUGAUGGCGUUGUAAGCAGCUUCUCUGUUCUCCUCUGGAAGGUCCACCACACCUGAGAGGCGAACAACAGGACAUAUCUACGACACCAAGUCUUUCGGCAUUCUUGCAUUUACUCAAGUGACAAAAAUGCUAACAUAAUUUUGGGAUUAGAUUCUGAGUACCUGGUCUGAAAGCCAUCUUGAUCUUGAUGAAGGCUUCAUUGCAGUCAGCCAGAAGGUACUUGGCCUUCCUGUGGUAGAUCCUCACCACACCCAGCAGGAGAUGACCAGACGUUCUUAAAGCCAUUUUCACCUGACACAUUCACAAGUUAGGAGUCUGCGUCACUAAACAAAGCAGGUGAUGCUCUACCUUUGGGGAGAUGAUGCUCUCAACACUGCUUUCAAGGUUGCACUCAAACACAUGUGCUUUGGUCAGCUUUUUGUCCCAAUGGGCCGCCAGCCAGAUUUUGGCCAGCGGCCCCCGCUUGCUGAGUACGAAAUGUGCGUAGAACAUUGUUCACAGGGAGUCUCACCAUAGGGGGUGGAGGGAAGGGGAGGAUCCACGGCCUUGAGAGGGAAAGGAAACAAAAUCAGGAAAUUUUCCAUGUCACAAAAGAUGUAUAACAGUUUAAAUGAGUAUGUGAGGGAAAUACAAAUAGAUUCAGCUACAGCCACCCGCUUGAGUUGGCCACACGUGACUAGACAAAUGCUAAAAUCACUCUCUGAACAGCACGGUUGGUUUUCUUUGCAACCACCCCUUUCAAUGUACUGUACCCAGAAGCCACGCCUCCAGAGCAACGCACCAUCACUUUAUUAACUUCUUCUUAGGGCUCUAAUUAUUCAUUCAAAUGAUAUUUAACAGCAUGCAAUAUCAGUAUCAGCACUUUCCACAUUUUAUUUCAAUAGGCUAUAAAAGUUAUCUGUUGAACCGUGGCCUUUAUAGACUGUUAAUAAAAGAGGCGUCUGUAGAGCCUGUGGCUUAGACUGAGAGUUUUACAAGAAUGUACAAUAUUAGAUAAAUUUAUUAAUGGAAGAUGUAUCAGAAAAUCCUUAAUUCACAUUAUUCACCAGCAUACAAUUGGUGUGCUAUCGUUAACUCUUAGCUCCCAUCUAAAUCAUACCAUAAUUAUAUCAACUAGUGUGUUGUUGCCCAAAAUCUAUCAAACCUUUAACUAGAGGUAUUUUUUUUCAGUAAACUUGGAAUUAUUUAGACAGCACAGCUUUGCCUGCAACCUUUAACCCACAUAACCACACUCAGUUGACCUUUAUCACUUUGGAUGUUCCCUAUUAAUGCCGCAGCAUUGGUAAACAGUCUGGAUGUCAUUCUCACUUGAAAGUAUUUUAAUUAGUCAACCACCAUUACGUCACCUUGCCUUUGAUGAGACACGUAUUUAAGUUCUGUCCCACUCUCUCCGUGCCUUGGAAUGAGGACUAAGUCUUUUUUAUUAUUCAAACAUUUAUUUCUAUGAACUUAUUGGAGCAACAAGACUGUGUUCUGACAGGAUGGGCAGACAGUUACUAUAUUGUCAUGGUGAUAAACGGAAUGAGGGUCAGAUGAGGAAAGCCAGGGAUGGAUCUGGAUGGGCAGAAAUUGGUGUCACCAGGCAACACUUUAUUUUAAAUGUAUUUGUUUGUAUGUGAAAUGAUUAGUGGUAUAGUUGCCAUUUUUAAGGAAAUCCCAGAUCAAUGAAUGAAACAACCUGUAGUUAACUUGUUGAGGAUUUGUUCUGUGCUUGUGGGGGCCUCCGGAACACAGCACAGUGUCGCCAGCUCCAUUGCUCUCUUAAGUGUCUCGACCUGCAUGUAGCUAAAUCAGCUCCUUGUCUGCCAGUCGUUGUCUUAAUGCAUCAGUAGGAUUCAAACCAUAAUAACGCACUUUUUUUGUUUUUUUAUGCACCAGAAAAAAUUUCGAGUGUCCCUAAUACAAAGGAUUAUGAGUUGAGAUGAAUUAAAAAUCUAUAUUUUUUUAAUUGUGAAAGCAUUUUUUGCAUCAAUAAAGUCAGUGCACCUGUUGGAUGACAUCACAUCAUGACGCUUCGUUUUCAGUAAAUGCGUUAUUACACUAAAUGUGUCAUUAUGAUUAUUUAGUAUCACAUUAUGACGUGAGCCUAACGCAAAGCCUGUGUCGAUCCUUUCAUCAAAAAAAAAGAAAAAAGAUCUUCAAUGUUACGAAUUAAAAUCUGUUACCUGAAUUGACUUUCAACUAUUGAACCUAUGAUGCUUGUUUUUCAUUGCACAAAAUCAUCGAUGAUGUCAUUCUGGAUUGGGUGGACAAUAAAACAUCGAUGUCAAACGUGACGUUGAACACAAUUUCAAAAACAUCUCUGUCAGUAACGACGCGCUGUCCCAACAGGUGAUGUGAUGUCAGCCAUGCCUCCGGGGACUGCGUGAUUUUUCUAGUCACAGCGGUCAUUUCUGACGCGGUUGGACGCGCGUGUAAUUCAGUGACACUGAACAGACCUACCGCUUAGGAGCUCGGUCCUGUGGCGUUGUCGGUGUUUUAUCGUCAUUUCGCUUCUGUUCUCUUUCUCACACUCACAGAAGAUGGCGAGCCUCUGUCCACCGUCGCCGGCGGAGAGCUGCUGAUGUUGCUGUCAUGCGCAGUCGAAAUAAGAAUAAGAAUAUAAGAAUAUAAGAAUAUAAGAAUAUAAGAAUAUAAGAAUAAGAAUAAGAAUAAGAAUAAGAAUAAGAAUAAGAAUAAGAAUAAGAAUAAGAAUAAGAAUAAGAAUAAAUACUUUGUAACGUAAUGUGAGAUGUGCAAUAUUCUUUUUUUAAUUCAGCCAGUGUCCAAACAUGAUGUUUUCGUCGGACAUAGUGUAAAUGUGUCCUUUACCACCCCACUUCUUAAAAAAAAAAAAAAAAAAAAGACCUUGUGGAAACAGAACUCUUGCCUCAGUCUGAAAGUUGGUCCAACUUUACUUACACCCCUGGUGCGAGCAUUAAAGCGUAGGCUGUCACUUCAUUUAAUUAUUUAUUCAUGUGGCGACGAAGAUAAAUUAUUCCGCUGUAACAUUUGGAGUGGUCCCAGAGUCAGGUUUCGGCCUUAAGCAAAUGAAGGUUGGAAAAAAUGCACCGCCGCCUUUAACUGAUUUCUGCAGCUCAGGUGACUUGGCUGUGGCCCUGGGCCUCCUCCUUGUGGUUCUUUCCCUGGACAAGUUACCACACUUGCUGCACAUAUCUAAUUCACCAGUACGAACGGACUCGUCAUCCAUGCAGUCACGAGCUCUUCUCCUUGCCGUUGACGCCACAGACGCACCAGGAGAGGGCGCUUCCGUCCCAUCAAAGGCUUGUCUCCAGAUAAGAAGAAAGUGCUCUCAGGCUCCAGAGACCAUCUAACAAACCCCACUGGGAGGUGACUCAACUUGAGCACAAAGGAUCUGCUUAUAUUUCGCUGCAAAAAGGCUGCUGGAUUGUCUGUCUCUCAAAGAACCUGUCUGACGACAGACAAACUCGUCUUUAUCAGGAGAUUUCCUGAGAGUUGAUGGAUGUGUGUGCAGCACAUCACACAGACUAACAAGCGCUGGGACCAAGUGAAAGCUCACUCACAUUUCUCACACCGGAUUUGUAUGGUGCGACUGAAUGAAGAACAGAGGCAGAGAAGAAGGAGGGGUGAGCAGUAAUGGGGGGGUCUUUUCAGUUCUUUCUGGGAGCAACAAUAGUCUUUGUCCAAGAUCUUCCACCAUUCUCAUUAGGGUUACCCCAGGGAGAGGGAGUGGGGGCGAGCAGGCGGAGAGGAGUUUCUGCUUAGUAACAAUGACAAAACAAGGCAGUGGCGCAGCAGAAGCCAUGCCGGCAGCUGCCUCACACACUAACUUCUUCAGCAACAACAGAGGAUAAAGACGGACUCCUGAAAAAGCUCGACAAGAGAAGGCAACACAUGUGGGGAGCUUACCGAAACCUUCAACCACCAACAUGAACCGAGACAGUCACACAGAGGAUACUCUUUCCACCAUGGUUCUGGAGAACAUCAAGAACAAGCUGAUCAACGCUUUUAGGACAAGUGGAGAAGCCAGGGAGAAUCACAAGGCCACUGCUGUAUCUGUCAGACCACUCAGCAUCAGCAGGAGUCAGCAGGCCAAUGAGGAACUAAGGCGAGCACAGAUUGAUGGAGCCAUCACCUGGCUUAGGUCUGAGCUGCUGGAAAUGCGUUCACAGGACCUCCAGUUGGCUCAGACAUUGCUGGGCCUCAACACUGAGAUCCAAAGACUGAGGCGGGAGAGUUUCAGGGGUGUGGAGGUGGGAGGGAACGAUCCAUCAGAGUGACACUUUGGUGCACCAAGUCCUUGAAAACAUUUGUUAAAAACAAGUAUGCUUUGUGAGAUUAAAGUUUUUUUUAAAUCA